AAUAGAUACCCUGGUAGUCCACGCCGUAAACGAUGAGUGCUAAGUGUUAGAGGGUUUCCGCCCUUUAGUGCUGCAGCUAACGCAUUAAGCACUCCGCCUGGGGAGUACGGUCGCAAGACUGAAACUCAAAGGAAUUGACGGGGGCCCGCACAAGCGGUGGAGCAUGUGGUUUAAUUCGAAGCAACGCGAAGAACCUUACCAGGUCUUGAUAUCCUCUGACAACUCUAGAGAUAGAGCGUUCCCCUUCGGGGGACAGAGUGACAGGUGGUGCAUGGUUGUCGUCAGCUCGUGUCGUGAGAUGUUGGGUUAAGUCCCGCAACGAGCGCAACCCUUGAUCUUAGUUGCCAGCAUUUAGUUGGGCACUCUAAGGUGACUGCCGGUGACAAACCGGAGGAAGGUGGGGAUGACGUCAAAUCAUCAUGCCCCUUAUGACCUGGGCUACACACGUGCUACAAUGGAUGGUACAAAGGGCUGCAAGACCGCGAGGUCAAGCCAAUCCCAUAAAACCAUUCUCAGUUCGGAUUGU
RNAcentral lists this ribosomal RNA (526 nucleotides) under uncultured bacterium. RNAcentral's name for it is "bacterial SSU rRNA". It matches the Rfam family "Bacterial small subunit ribosomal RNA", at positions 777 to 1301 of the family's 1533-position model. The record is from RNAcentral.